AAGUAGAAAUAUCAAUACGUGUAAAUUCAAAAAUGGCAGAUUUUCCAGGAUUAAACUAUCCAUUCGUGAACUUUCAAUCGUUACAAUUUCAAUUGACGAAUUAGUUCCAGCGCAGAGGACAUUGGAAUCUUGGACUAAAAUCUUCGUCAACAACAGCGCCACUUCUUCUGUCUCAAGCCCUAAUUUCUAGAAUAACACCACUUCUGGUGGCGACGAAGGUAGGUCUUCCAUCAACCCAAAUCCAUGACCUGAAUUUCUGAACUUGUUUUCAUUUCAAUGUGCUAUAGUUCUGUGAUCUUGCUUUCUUGUGUCUUUUCUCUAAAACACGAGCUGGAAUUUCCUUGAUUGUGAUAGAAGCUGAGACUUGGAGAAUGUUUUGGUACUUCUGAAAGAUAUGUACUCUGGAAAGUUUUCUUUAGUUUGUCUUUUUAACCAUAAAGUUUUAUACUGGCUUGAUUUUGUUUUCCCAUGGGUCGUAUAAAAAUAUUUGAGGAAGAAAUAAUGUUGAACUAUUUGAUAAUUAUGUUUUAUAGGUUGUGUAUAUUUAUGAGAAACUUAUGAAUACGGUACCAAGUAAUGCAAGAAUGCAAGAACAAUCAAUCAUGUAGCAUAGUUUAUUUAAGCGUUGAGAAAUUGAAGGGAUGGUGGUGAAGCUACUAAUAUAAAAGAGUUUGUUGUAGUUUCACACUGAUCGUAGUGAUUUCCCUCGUAUGGACUAACUAUAUAGUUAUUAUGUUGUCGUAUGAAGACUGAAUAUUGUUUCUUGUGCAUAUCCUUCCAAUAUUAUAUCCUGGAAAAGAGCUUGGGCCAGUCACCAAUUAUGUUUAUUCUUCCAUAUAUUACAAAGGGGUCCCCAUAACGGUUUUCCCCCAUGGAGGCCGGAUGAUAAAGAUGGUCACUAUGCUUUUGCUAUUUGUGAGAAUUUAACUUCUCAUUGUAGGUGUACUUCAAAUAAUUAAUGGUGUGAAUUGGAGAGUGGCUUAAAUGUUAAUUUUGAUUGAUGCCUUUUUAGGAGUUCUUUUAGAACAUGCUCAUUGAACACCUUUGCUAUGAUAGCUUGUGCAAUCUGCUGUACAUAUGUGGGUCUCUCCCAUUGUUUCUUACAUUCAUUUUUCUGGAGUGGAAAUGCUUAUGUUAGGUUAGAUUUUUUGUUGUCCACAUGUUAGAUUAGUUUCCUUCAGUUAACUAUGCAGUCACCCCUCCACUUUAGCAAACUAACUUCGAUGUGGUAAUUUUUAAGCCUUAUUGUAUUACAAGAGGCGAAUAACUUGAAGCAAGCAUGGCCAUCAUUAUUGAAGAACAAAAUCUGCCACCCAAAUAUUUAUUUUGUAACUCGUUCUUAUAAUAACUAUAUCUCCGUUUUACUUUAAGAAGCAUCUAAUAUGAAAAUCUAUAGAGAGUACGUUAAGGAACACAUCUAUGUUUUUCCCCCUUCUGGUAGGUGGCUAGUCUAAUUUGCUUUCUGGAAGAUUUUUUAUUUUUUCAGGAAUUCUAAAGUUAAUAUACUCAUAUAAGUUUAGUGCAUGUUUGGUACCUGGAAUUAGACCGAUUAGACCAUACUGGACGAUAUAGCAUACAAGAUUCUAACUUCUUUUUCUUUUCUAAUUUAGUCUAGCACAGUCUGAUCCACUUUGUCAAAAGAAGCGAUCAGUGACAUGGGCCCCGGAUGUGUAUGAUCCAGCUCCAACAGAGUUGUCACAUGCAUUAUCAGACAAGAGUCAGAGCCAUCAAAGCAAUAGGAAGAAGUUUGGGAAAAACAAGCAGAAAUGAAGAUGGUUUUGGUGGUGGAUUCCUGCCCUAUGGUAGUGCUUCCCACCGUUUAUUGUGCCAUUUGGUGAAGGCUGAUGGUUGGGUAGGUAUAUCUGCCAAUUCCGAGUCCUGUGGAUUGGGGGUGCCAAAGGAAGAUGUCGCAUGAGAUCACACAUGGAUAACUGUGAUGGAUUGUAAGGUUCACACUGGGCGCUUGACAGAGUUUUGAGGCUUUUCUUGCAAUAGGUUUGAGCUUAUUGUGCUUGUUUCUUUUAGGUCGUUUUUAGUGCUUGGUUGAUGGCUUAGAGUUUAUGUGAUUGGGCUGCUGUGGUGGGUUAGACUUUUUGGUACUUGGGCUGUGAUAAUGUUUUCUUUUCUAACAACUCUACCUGCUUUCCCUUUUUUCUUUUCUUUUAUUUUUUUUAAACAAACAAAUAACAAGAGUUCUUUUCUUCUACAAAUAAUACCAUUAAAAAUACCCUUUUGUAGACUAGACAUACCAUGAAUAGUAGGUUUUGACUGGGAUUUUAUCACUGGACCGAGGCAAUUUGGUAUCAAUUGAUGCAAAAUGAGAGACACGAAGAAGAAAGAAAUUGUAGGAACAAGUUAAUUGAAUUCUGCUUCGAUUUAUUCUUAAAAUUUUUGGUAAAAAUGAAAUCUACUGAAAUAAAUCAAAAUCAAUUUCUUAUUUCAAUUUUGGUGUAUUUUCAGCAUGUUUCUAUUGCCUCUUCCAUCACGUGUUCUAUCUUAGUAGACAUCAUUGUUUACUGCUAUAUAGAAUGUUCUCAUACAAUUAAAAAUAAGAUAAAUUAUUGACUUCGGUAUGAAACUGAGCUAUUGCUUGGAAUGACUAUUUUCCCUUCAAUUUUCCCUUGCUGUAUGCUUGCUUUUUCAAUGUUUAUUAAGUAGUUAUGAUGCAUUUUUAGAAAAAUUAUUUUCAGGAAUUGUCUACAGAUGAGAAUAUAUUCAAACCAUCUGAUGUUGAACAGGCUUUGUGGAGUUCUUCCAUAGCUGCCAAAUUCAAAAUAUUAUCUACUAAUUUAGAUGACGUUCAGUUGGACAAAAGGUCUGCAGGAUAGAGCAAACGGUAAUAGAGCUCCGGUUUGUUGUCAACUCUGGUUACUCACUAUAUAUUAUCAAUUUUUUUCCUUUCUAUUUGUAGGCUCCCUACUAAGCAUCUUUAUGUAUCCAAAUUAAAUGUUAAACUUGUUUAUUUUGUUCUCACAUAAUUUCUGAUCAUUUGCCAUAUUUUACUACUACCAGAAAAUGAUUAUUUGUUGUUGGUAAAAGUGUCAUGAACUCCUUAGAUCAAUCUAAUGGCUUACAGACACCACAAGGAGCAAGGCUUGUAACUUGCUCUGUGUUUGCUUAAGAUAUUGUUUAAUUCUUUCUAUUAUAACAUAUUACUUGUUUAAACUAUGUUCAAGAUUUGUGGAAACUUUCCUUUAAGAGAGAAUAUUUUAUGAUUCGAAUAAUUCAAGCUUCUUUCCUAAAUGUCUUAUUCUAGAAUACUUCAAUAUCUGCGAAGCAGCAAGUUAAUUUCAAAUUGGCAAAGAAUCUAAUUACCUGUUAGAUUUGCUCUCUCUGUAUGAUACCACUCUUAUAUUACAAAUUGUGUUUUUUAGACUUUGUAUUGGUUUUCUUCUUGGAUCUUUAUGCUGGUGGUUAGUGUUUGUUUUUCAUAGGCCAGGAUCGAUGGCACAGCUCAUAUCGAAGAUUGCUGAGAAGAAAAUUAAGGAGAUCGAUGAAGUGGUUUUACUCACUAUUUUUGGAGUUCAAUUAAUAAUGGUUAUUGGAGUUAUUUGAUAUAGUUAUCUUCUAUUAUGUUUUGUGGUUAAUAUAUGUAAGUCACUGUACAAACAAAAAAAUUAAAAUUUAAAAAAAAAAAUGUAAAAUGACCUACGGUAACGGUAAUUUUUUUUAUGCAAAAAAUAAGGACAAAAGCAUAGAUAAGUUACAAAAAAU
This 3714-nucleotide long non-coding RNA is filed under the name Olea europaea subsp. europaea. Lineage: Eukaryota; Viridiplantae; Streptophyta; Magnoliopsida; Lamiales; Oleaceae. The record is from RNAcentral.